AAUUCGCCCUUAGAGUUUGAUCCUGGCUCAGAUUGAACGCUGGCGGCAUGCCUUACACAUGCAAGUCGAACGGUAACGCGGGGCAACCUGGCGACGAGUGGCGAACGGGUGAGUAAUAUAUCGGAACGUGCCCAGUCGUGGGGGAUAACUGCUCGAAAGAGCAGCUAAUACCGCAUACGACCUGAGGGUGAAAGCGGGGGAUCUUCGGACCUCGCGCGAUUGGAGCGGCCGAUAUCAGAUUAGGUAGUUGGUGGGGUAAAGGCCUACCAAGCCGACGAUCUGUAGCUGGUCUGAGAGGACGACCAGCCACACUGGGACUGAGACACGGCCCAGACUCCUACGGGAGGCAGCAGUGGGGAAUUUUGGACAAUGGGGGCAACCCUGAUCCAGCCAUGCCGCGUGCGGGAAGAAGGCCUUCGGGUUGUAAACCGCUUUUGUCAGGGAAGAAAUCCUUUGGGCUAAUAACUCGGAGGG
Molecule: ribosomal RNA, 474 nt
Filed under: uncultured bacterium
Lineage: Bacteria
Description: bacterial SSU rRNA
Rfam family: Bacterial small subunit ribosomal RNA
Source: RNAcentral